GUGCAUCUCAAACAUUAACAUAUAUACUAAGCACCUAGGGAUUGUGUUAAAAUGCAAAAUCUGGGUCAGUGGGUUUGGGCAGGUUCUUGAGAGCCUACAUUUAUAACAAACCACCAGAUAGUGUUAAUGGGACUGCUCCACACUGCCAGUAGCAAGGUUUUAGAGAUUGCUGGAGGCAUUGAGAACAUCAUACCUUACCAUCUUCCUUAUAUAUACAGAGCUCCCUUUCACAGUUUGCACAAAGGCCCACAACAUACUCAUGCUUAGAAAAUACACAGGGCACCCUAGAGGACCCUGCAUCCAUGACAAGAGAAAAGCAAGCUCAUGUAAGAAUAAGUUUCUAAAGUCCUCACCUGCUACUCAGGUACCUGCAAUCAUCAAUGGAGGCCCAUUAUCAGACCUCGAUAAAAUAAGCAGUCACAAGGUUGUUUAUCUAAACAAGACUGGGAGCUCUUCAAAAGUUGAGCCCUGAGUAGGUGAUUACUGCAGAAUGGUUAGGUCACUUGUUACUCUCCCCCAAGGGGUCAAUGAUAACUGUCCUGAGCCCACGACUAUAUUUGCCUGGUGUUUAACUAGAUCCAUCUGCAAUGUGUAACUGAGAAAAGGCACGAUGUAGUAAUGAAUUCAAGGUGUGCACUUUAUAUCAAAUUUCAUGUGUGUAGCAACAGGCCACUCCUUGCAGUGGUGUAGGAAGGGUCUUCCGUCAAAUUAUGCACGAUCUUCCAUGCUAGGAAUUACUCAGCCUCAGCUUGCCUACUUGAGAAUUAGUUUACUUCAAUCUAUUGACAACGUUAUGACAAUUGUGGCAUAGUAUGCUGGCUUACCUGAAAAACGGAGCAAUUUUAAAGUUUAAUAACAGUUGAAGACUAAGAACAGGAACAUUUAUAUAUAUAUAUAUAUUUUUUUUCAUAAAUGCAGUCAUGUAGACGUUUUCAUUUUUAAGUGUCCUGUUUGGGUCUCAAAUAAGAUUUGAAUAUUGAGAGGAAGGCUAGGCCAGGUUUAUUUUUUAUGAUUGUUUUUUAGUUUUUUUGAAUAGAAGGAGCACCUAUUCAAAGCCCUUGCCACUGGAGGGGGAAAAAAAAAGUUCAUGUGAUUUUGUGAUUUGACAGUGAUUCUAACACUAUUUUCUUCAAUAAUUGGAUAUAUUUUUGUACUAAAACCUCCAUUGUUUUCACCUUAUCAAGUACUAUAAUGGCAAACAAUUUACGUUCAGACUACCAAAAUGCCACUUUUUUAGCUUAAAAAGUAAAAAAAAAAAAAAAAAGUGCUAUAAACCAGGAACUCUUAAUAACAAUUCUUUGCUUCAAUCUGAUUACAUUCUUACUUUUCCUACCUCUUGCUACUGUUUCUAAUACUGGAGGAGGAUUUAUAUUUUUUUCUGAACAAUAGAUUUUAAUUAAGAAGAUUUAUUAAAGACAGUUUUCAUUCCUAUGAUUACAUUUCCAGUUCCAGAGACAUCUGCAUUUCAAAAUGCACCACAUAUUUUCAUAAAUAUUCCAUAAUUCCCUUAGAGCUUUUUGGUAUUCCAAUUUCCUCCAACCUCUUCUUAACAUCUUCACAUUCACUGUGUGUUCCAUCUAUUUGUACCCAGUCAGAAUUAGACAUUUCUGCAUACAGGUAUAAAAUAAGAUUGUAUUAGAAAGCAGAUUCAAAGCAUUGCUAUUCUUUGUGAAUCAAGACUUUUAAAAGGAACAAAGACAAAUUAAGUUCAGUAACAUAUGUCUAACAAAAGACUUAGAUAUCUUACAGACAAACCGAGAGUGGCAGGGUAAACAAGGAGGCAGAGUUUGCUUUGAAGUUUAAAUCAUUGUUAUUUUAAUAGAGUAGAAAAUUCAUUUAGAUAGUGGAAUCUGAUAGUUACCCAAUUAAAGCCCUUUUUGUCUACGUUAAUGUAGUUUUAUAUUUUUAGUUUUUGAAACUGGGUUUUGCUGAGAAUUAUUUGGAGAUAGAAGCAGCUUGAACUGCAUCUUUAGAUGGACAUCAUGAGUGACAGUAAAUUGUCGAUUAGACCUUUUGAAGCAUUUUGCAUAAAAUUGUAAGCUAAUGUAUUAAGCUUGAUCAAAGUGCAGAGAACAGAGAUACACUCAAGUUAUUUCAUAUAGUUCACCUACCAAAUGCAUAUGCCUAGACAUAUAGAGAGUAUGAAUUUUCUUUCAUAUUUUCAUGUUCUUGAAACAAAACUAGGUCUGAUCCCUAGUCUAUCCCACCAGGUGGUCAGGCAAUCCAUUUGAGAGGGUGGUCCUAUUUCAUGGAUUCUGCAAUCUUACCCAAAUAAGUUUCUGAGUCUUACUGAGAAAAUAUUUAUUCUUUCAUUCAUACUGGGUUAUUUGCUGAAGUUUUUCUUGCUUAAGUUCUAUUGGUCUCUUGAAAUCCAAGUCUGGCAGUAAUACCUUGCUGAGAGGAUGAGAAUAGGUGCUGAGUGGUAAAUACCCACCCUCAUCAUAGUUCAUGCUUUGUGCUGCCGUGUUCAGCAUGUCCUAGGUAUUACCUCAUUCAUUCCUAAAACAGCAGUGGGAGAGAGUUAUGUCUACAGGGAACUGAGCCUAGGGCUGGAGUUAUUGGCCUAAGGUCUCACAGUUUAUAAAUGGCAAGAGUGGAUUUGUCCAUUGGUGGCCUGGGUUAGCACAAGUCUGGCCCAGUCGUUUUGCUCUAGCUUCCUCAUCUUCCCCUGCCCUUUAAGAAGGUAUGACUCAAAUCUCUGAGGUUAGGGCUUGUAAACACCAAAGAAAAUCUUGUUUCUUUUUUCCUAAAUCUCUUAGGGCGUGUCUAUGGGCAGAAAAAAACUUCAAGAGGGUCUCCCAAGCUCAGUUUCAUGGAGAUCUAAUUCUAGAAGCAAGCUCUUCUGGAAUCGAAUGAAUCAAAGAGUCAUUGCAGAAUUAAUACCUGGACCCUCAGAAACUGUCUCAACAUCCUGAAGGUGCUACUCAAGACCCUGGGAUACAGCAGUGGGCAAGACACACUCUCCACCUUUCCUAGAGCUAUUUGUCUUCUACCGUGGACACAAGUCAUAGAGGAACCCUCUGCUAUGGGCCUGAUAUAUACACCCUGGGUCUCAGUGGAGUGUCACCUGUGGGUUGAGACACAGGGUGAAGCAAGGAAGGCUGGAGAACCCAGAGGGAAAACCAUCUGGCAUUACCAUCUGUACCUUCCAGGGGAUUCAAAGUAAUCUUUGACUGCUCCACUCAGACCAUUCUUUGCACCUGACAUUUGCAGAUAAAAGUUGAAAAAUAUUGUAAACUUGCACAACCUAUGAAAAGUCUGGGAAGAUUAAAAACAAGGUAUAUUGCAGGGAAAUAAAAGUUCCAAUUUAUAUUUCA
Molecule: non-coding RNA, 3317 nt
Organism: Ictidomys tridecemlineatus (thirteen-lined ground squirrel)
Lineage: Eukaryota; Metazoa; Chordata; Mammalia; Rodentia; Sciuridae
Source: RefSeq, a predicted model, not a curated record